CCGAACUACCUGCACGAAAGCUGGCUCGACUAUCUCUACUGGGACACCGAACUCGACCCGUAGGAUUCCGGCUUAAUGGCCAGUCGCUCGCGGCGUUGCAGGGAGAGAAGUCACUCCCUGCUUUGAUACCGAGCUCGAUCCGUAAGCGUUCGCGCUCAGGCUUCCUGAUGGAACGGAUAAUCCGUGUAGCCCGCUUCCGCGCCG
RNAcentral lists this unclassified non-coding RNA (204 nucleotides) under Hevea brasiliensis (rubber tree). Lineage: Eukaryota; Viridiplantae; Streptophyta; Magnoliopsida; Malpighiales; Euphorbiaceae. The record is from RNAcentral.